This 392-nucleotide RNase P RNA is filed under the name Sphingobacterium corticibacterium. RNAcentral's name for it is "Sphingobacterium sp. 30C10-4-7 RNase P RNA component class A". It matches the Rfam family "Bacterial RNase P class A". Rfam says of the family: Ribonuclease P (RNase P) is a ubiquitous endoribonuclease, found in archaea, bacteria and eukarya as well as chloroplasts and mitochondria. Its best characterised activity is the generation of mature 5'-ends of tRNAs by cleaving the 5'-leader elements of precursor-tRNAs. The record is from RNAcentral. Lineage: Bacteria; Pseudomonadati; Bacteroidota; Sphingobacteriia; Sphingobacteriales; Sphingobacteriaceae.
AAGCAAACCGGUUCUAUCGCUGUCUUGCCCUUAGGCGGGAGAGAGGAAAGUCCGGGCAAUAUAGAGCAACACGCUUCCUAACGGGAAGGCUCUUAUGUGAAUAAGAGACAGAAAGUGCCACAGAAAAAAUACCGCUACGACGUUUGUCGCAGUAAGGGUGAAAACGUGAGGUAAGAGCUCACGGUCUUGUAUGGUGACAUGCAUUACGGUAAACCUCGUGUGUUGAAAGACCAAAUAGGUUGCGAACCUCGAAGGCUGCUCGUCUUCUCCCGACUUGUCGGGAUUCGUAAUGGGUAGGUUGAUGGAGCUUGUAUGUGAAUGCAAGCCUAGAUAAAUGAUAGAAAUCCAAAAUAAUUCGGAUACAGAACCCGGCUUAUAAGGUUUGCUUCUUU